This 482-nucleotide ribosomal RNA is filed under the name uncultured bacterium. Its description in RNAcentral is "partial 16S ribosomal RNA". It matches the Rfam family "Bacterial small subunit ribosomal RNA", at positions 30 to 507 of the family's 1533-position model. The record is from RNAcentral.
AUUGAACGCUGGCGGCAUGCCUUACACAUGCAAGUCGAACGGUAACAGGUCUUCGGAUGCUGACGAGUGGCGAACGGGUGAGUAAUACAUCGGAACGUGCCCGAUCGUGGGGGAUAACGAGGCGAAAGCUUUGCUAAUACCGCAUACGAUCUACGGAUGAAAGCGGGGGAUCUUCGGACCUCGCGCGGACGGAGCGGCCGACGGCAGAUUAGGUAGUUGGUGGGAUAAAAGCUUACCAAGCCGACGAUCUGUAGCUGGUCUGAGAGGAUGAUCAGCCACACUGGGACUGAGACACGGCCCAGACUCCUACGGGAGGCAGCAGUGGGGAAUUUUGGACAAUGGGCGAAAGCCUGAUCCAGCCAUGCCGCGUGCAGGAUGAAGGCCUUUGGGUUGUAAACUGCUUUUGUACGGAACGAAAAGCCUCUUUCUAAUAAAGAGGGGUCAUGACGGUACCGUAAGAAUAAGCACCGGCUAACUACGUG